Molecule: long non-coding RNA, 393 nt
Organism: Lycium ferocissimum
Lineage: Eukaryota; Viridiplantae; Streptophyta; Magnoliopsida; Solanales; Solanaceae
Exons: 2
Source: RefSeq, a predicted model, not a curated record
UUCCUGAACUGAUCUGCUCUCACAUAUAAAGAACAUCACGGUGUCUUCUUGGCUAUUCUGUAAGCUUCACACAUCACUGCCCAAGUUUAUGAUAUUCUUCCUGCAUUUUUCCAUUUUUUCAUUUUUUUGGCUUUUUUUUUUUUUUUAAUUUAAAGAAGAAACGGGGGGAUUAAUGGAGUUGCUGGAGUCUACAUUCCAAAUGGGUAUACCAUUGUCCCAGAGCUAGUUCUUUCAUGUAAAAAGAAAAAGAAAAAAAAGGACAGAACCAGAAACAACAGAUGGAAACAGGAAGACUGGAAAAAGGGGGGAAGGGGGAUUUUAUAUCCCAGCCACUAGGCAAGUUUUGAAGCUUGAUUAGCACAUAUAUGCCAAAAGGCUUUUUUUUUUUUUUUU